GCCAUGCAAGUCGAGAGGUUUCUGACCUCGGCGUACUGCUCAGUAACACGUGGACAAUCUGCCCUGGAGAGGAGGAUAUCCCCGGGAAACUGGGAUUAAUACUCCAUAGUUCGUCUUAACUGGAAUGUUAUUCGAACGAAAGAUCCGUCGCUCCAGGAUGAGUCUGCGGCCGAUUAGGUAGUUGUUGGGGUAACGGCCCAACAAGCCUUUCAUCGGUACGGGUUGUGGGAGCAAGAGCCCGGAGAUGGAUUCUGAGACACGAAUCCAGGCCCUACGGGGCGCAGCAGGCGCGAAAACUUUACCAUGCGGGCAACCGUGAUAAGGAAACCCCGAGUGCCAGCACAGGCUGGCUGUCCGCCAGUUUAAAUAACUGGUGAAGAAAGGGCCGGGCAAGACCGGUGCCAGCCGCCGCGGUAAUACCGGCGGCUCGAGUGGUGGCCGCUAUUACUGGGCUUAAAGGGUCCGUAGCUUGAUAACUGGGUCCCUUGAGAAAUCCGCCAGCUUAACUGGCGGGCGUUCAGGGGAAACUUGUUUUCUAGGGACCGGGAGAGGUGAGGGGUACUGCCGGGGUAGGAGUGAAAUCCUGUAAUCCCGGUGGGACCACCUAUGGCGAAGGCAUCUCACCAGAACGGGUCCGACAGUGAGGGACGAAAGCUGGGGGAGCAAACCGGAUUAGAUACCCGGGUAGUCCCAGCUGUAAACUAUGUGCGUUAGGUGUGUCAGUGACCACGUGUCACUGAGGUGCCGAAGGGAAACCGUGAAACGCACCGCCUGGGGAGUACGGUCGCAAGGCUGAAACUUAAAGGAAUUGGCGGGGGAGCA
Molecule: ribosomal RNA, 822 nt
Filed under: uncultured archaeon
Lineage: Archaea
Description: bacterial SSU rRNA
Rfam family: Archaeal small subunit ribosomal RNA
Source: RNAcentral